UACGUAGGGUGCAAGCAUUAAUCGGAAUUAUUGGGCGUAAAGGGCGCGUAGGCGGUUAGGAAAGUCAGAUGUGAAAUUCCGGGGCUCAACCUCGGAGCUGCAUUUGAAACUACCUGACUAGAGGGUUGACGGAGAAAACGGAAUUCCACGUGUAGCGGUGAAAUGCGUAGAUAUGUGGAAGAACACCAGUGGCGAAAGCGGUUUUCUAGUUAAUACCUGACGCUGAGGCGCGAGAGCAAGGGGAGCAAACAGG
Molecule: ribosomal RNA, 253 nt
Filed under: uncultured bacterium
Lineage: Bacteria
Description: partial 16S ribosomal RNA
Rfam family: Bacterial small subunit ribosomal RNA
Source: RNAcentral